GCUGCUCUAUACAGAGCUCCGCUGUAGAACGUCGCCUUUACAGGAGCUACUCUUGAUUUUGAACUUUUCUGACAACAUCAGAUUAUACUAUAUUCUGCAAGGAGAAAUGACUCAAAAAGACAGAACGCAUCUGGAUCAAUCUGCAGAUGAAGGCUAAGAAAAGAAUAAAAGACAAAAAUGGCAAGUUACAACCUAAUGAACCAGGAGAGAAAAAGAUGAUUGUAGUUAGACAGAACAGCAUAAAUGGCUUCAGACCAAACUAUUCGGAAGAUCUAGAUGGCUUUAUACUGAUGUUUCAAAAAAUGUCACAGAUUCUCACACAUCAUAUACAGCAGCUCAUUUCUGUUCCUGGAGGCUGACCUUCCUAUACACAGUAGCUCAGUUUUUAACCCUGUGUUCCUGGAGAUUUGGUUUUGAAAGAACAGGAUCAGGCUCCUAAGGGGACAUAGUGAUCAACUGUGUGCUAUAGUGCAAAGUGUGCGUUUUCUCUCCUUAGAAAGCAGCAGUUCCUUUCACCAAAGUGGCAAAGUGUUCAUGUUCAUUCUCUGAUUAAGCAGUCUGUGUUUUAAAGUCAAAGGAAAAGCCUGAAUCAGUUGAGGGGCUCUGGCUGCUCUGUUAUGGUUUGAGUACAUUCAUCCCUCAAGUCUAAUCAACACAAAGCUGAUCGUCUUCAUCCUAUGAUGACACAUUUCUCUCCUGAUGGGAGUUUUCUCCUCCAGGAUGAGGGCACAAGGACUCAGUGAUGGGUUCAGGAAUAUACAUAUACUUAAAACUUCACAGUCACUAGAUCUCAACUCAUUUAAACACUUAUCCGUUUUUUUGUUGUUGUUUUUUAAUGUCAGCUCUUUUAUGACGAUGCUGUACCACAGAAUACUGCAGGCUAGUGUAAUAUGAAUGCAAAAGAAUGAAUUUUUAUACAGGCUCAUGUUUUUUGAAUCACUGAUUACUGUGUUGUACUGCACACUGUAUGAUAUUACAUUGGAAUGGAACAUGGUGCAGCAAUGCCAGUGUCAUAAGUUUGAUUCCCAGGGAACGCAUAUAGUCAUAAGACGCAUAGCUUUAACGCAGUUGUUAUCAACCCAGUUUCUAGAGACCCCUAUACUGUACACUUUAAAGACUCUUUAAAAGUCUGAUAAAUGCAAUAAAUUUUGUGGAGUCUGUCCUAAUGAAUUGAUGACUGCACUGCAAGAAAUAUGAACUACAAUAGAAUUAUAUUCAUAACUGUAUUGCAAUAAAUCUGUACUACUCCAGGGAAUAAACCUGGUUUACUUGUAAAAAAAAAAAAAAAAAAAACUUAAAGUGCUUGUUUGUGUAUCAUGUAUUUUGAUUGAACAUUAUUAAAGCAAGAAUCUGUUCUGACUUGCUCUUGAGUUGUUGAGCAAGAUCAGACAUUAAAACAAAAACAAUCAAAAACAGCUCUCUACAGGAGAUUGUAAGUAUUACAGCUGAGAAUAAUCACAUCAGUAUUUACAUCACAUCAGAAUUUAGAGGAGGUUUUUAUAGUUAUUUAAAUUAAAUUUGUAAAUGUAUAUUCCAGAAGUAAUCCAGAAUUCCAAGAGUUAAUCUGCUUGAGAAUUAUCUAUUGUAAUAUUAUUGCUAUAUCUUUAGAUUAAUUAUAGCACUAAAAAAGAGAUGCUUCAAACACAUUCAUUUACACUGAUUUUAAUUAGAAAAAAAAACAUAAAAAAAAAAAAAUAACUAUAUAUCCAGACAGAUCUAUCUGUAAUGCUGAUCAUGCGCUCAGAGUACAACACAAAAAUGACCCUGUCACAUUAUUGAAUUUAAGCAAAUGGGACAAAUGGGAAUUUAAGCAAA
Long non-coding RNA from Labeo rohita (rohu), 1815 nucleotides. RefSeq lists it as uncharacterized. NCBI's taxonomy places the organism in Eukaryota, Metazoa, Chordata, Actinopteri, Cypriniformes, Cyprinidae. The record is from RefSeq and is a predicted model, not a curated record. The transcript is spliced from 3 exons.